Molecule: ribosomal RNA, 557 nt
Filed under: Triticum aestivum (bread wheat)
Lineage: Eukaryota; Viridiplantae; Streptophyta; Magnoliopsida; Poales; Poaceae
Description: partial small subunit ribosomal RNA
Source: RNAcentral
CCUAUUCCCGCGGCAGGGGAGCUGCGGAGCUCGGGAGGGCAGGUGAGUGGCGAGGGGUGAACGCGGGGGAGCGAGAGAGAGAACGGGUGCGUGAGCAGUGGAGGAGGUCUAGGUAGCGGCUCGUGCCAGCAACGGCGAGCGGAGUGAGACGGUACCGGUCGUCCGUGUAGAGCGGAGCGGCAACGCAGGUGUUUCUGGCGGCAGCAGACGACGCAGAUGAUGCCUCUGCUUUGCUCGGCCUUGGGGAAGGUAGCAACUCGGCCGGGAGACGAAGGUGGAGGCCGGUGGCUUCCGGCGGCGGCAGCAAGACGACGUGGCUCGGAGGGGGCUCGGGCGAGUACGUGUAGACGUCCAGGCGCUGGGACUCUGACGGCGACUACGGCGAUACAAGCUCAUGUAGCUGCUGCUGGGGAGGAACGGUCUCGUUGGUCUACCACCUCAAGUCCUCGGUCUACGGUGGAAACUGCUGCCGACGAUGGGGCUCCCACGGAUGAUGGUGCACUGCCAGCGGCUGCUGGUUCUCAUCAAUCCUCCGAGGGUCCGUCCUCCGGAACGGA